AGAGUUUGAUCCUGGCUCAGAUUGAACGCUGGCGACAUGCUUUACACAUCCAAGUCGAACGGGGGUGGAGGGGCAACUCUUCACUUCAGUGGCGGACGGGUGAGUAAUGCAUCGGAACGUAUCCCGUAGUGGGGGACAACCCAGCGAAAGCUGGGCUAAUACCGCAUAUGCUCUACGGAGGAAAGUGGGGGACCCGCAAGGGCCUCACGCUAUGGGAGCGGCCGAUGUCCGAUUAGCUAGUUGGUGGGGUAAAGGCCCACCAAGGCGACGAUCGGUAGCUGGUCUGAGAGGAUGAUCAGCCACACUGGGACUGAGACACGGCCCAGACUCCUACGGGAGGCAGCAGUGGGGAAUUUUGGACAAUGGGGGCAACCCUGAUCCAGCCAUGCCGCGUGCGGGAAGAAGGCCUUCGGGUUGUAAACCGCUUUUGGUCGGGAAGAAAGGGCGCUGGCUAAUACCUGGCGCUGUGACGUACCGGCAGAAUAGCCCCGU
This 492-nucleotide ribosomal RNA is filed under the name uncultured soil bacterium. Its description in RNAcentral is "bacterial SSU rRNA". It matches the Rfam family "Bacterial small subunit ribosomal RNA", at positions 8 to 496 of the family's 1533-position model. The record is from RNAcentral.